UGCAAGUCGAACGGCAGCACGGGAGCUUGCUCCUGGUGGCGAGUGGCGAANGGGUGAGUAAUGCGUCGGAACGUAUCCAUUAAUGGGGGAUAACGCAGCGAAAGCUGUGCUAAUACCGCAUACGCCCUGAGGGGGAAAGCAGGGGAUCUUCGGACCUUGCGUUAUUGGAGCGGCCGACGUCUGAUUAGCUAGUUGGUGGGGUAAAGGCCUACCAAGGCGACGAUCAGUAGCUGGUCUGAGAGGAUGAUCAGCCACACUGGAACUGAGACACGGUCCAGACUCCUACGGGAGGCAGCAGUGGGGAAUUUUGGACAAUGGGCGCAAGCCUGAUCCAGCCAUUCCGCGUGAGUGAAGAAGGCCUUCGGGUUGUAAAGCUCUUUCGGCAGGGAAGAAACAGUUGAGGCUAAUAUCCUUGACCAAUGACGGUACCUGCAUAAGAAGCACCGGCUAACUACGUGCCAGCAGCCGCGGUAAUACGUAGGGUGCGAGCGUUAAUCGGAAUUACUGGGCGUAAAGCGUGCGCAGGCGGUUUUUCAAGUCUGAUGUGAAAGCCCCGGGCUUAACCUGGGAACUGCGUUGGAAACUGAAAGACUAGAGUGCGGCAGAGGGGGGUAGAAUUCCACGUGUAGCAGUGAAAUGCGUAGAUAUGUGGAGGAAUACCGAUGGCGAAGGCAGCCCCCUGGGUCGACACUGACGCUCAUGCACGAAAGCGUGGGUAGCAAACAGGAUUAGAUACCCUGGUAGUCCACGCCCUAAACGAUGUCAACUAG
RNAcentral lists this ribosomal RNA (770 nucleotides) under uncultured bacterium. RNAcentral describes it as "bacterial SSU rRNA". It matches the Rfam family "Bacterial small subunit ribosomal RNA", at positions 56 to 819 of the family's 1533-position model. The record is from RNAcentral.